Molecule: non-coding RNA, 66 nt
Organism: Trichonephila clavipes
Lineage: Eukaryota; Metazoa; Arthropoda; Arachnida; Araneae; Nephilidae
Source: the annotation of a GenBank genome assembly
GCCCAGCUAGUAUGGUGGUAUGAUCCUCGGCUUGUAACCGAGUGGGUUCGAUUCCCGAGUAAGGCA